This 460-nucleotide ribosomal RNA is filed under the name uncultured bacterium. RNAcentral's name for it is "partial 16S ribosomal RNA". It matches the Rfam family "Bacterial small subunit ribosomal RNA", at positions 338 to 795 of the family's 1533-position model. The record is from RNAcentral.
CCUACGGGUGGCUGCAGUGAGGAAUAUUGGUCAAUGGCCGUAAGGCUGAACCAGCCAAGUAGCGUGAGGGAAGACUGCCCUAUGGGUUGUAAACCUCUUUUAUGCGGGGACAAAGGUGUCCACGCGUGGCUGUUUGCAGGUACCGCAUGAAUAAGGACCGGCUAAUUCCGUGCCAGCAGCCGCGGUAAUACGGAAGGUCCGGGCGUUAUCCGGAUUUAUUGGGUUUAAAGGGGGCGUAGGCCGGUCUUUAAGCGUGCCGUGAAAUUUUGGGGCUCAAACCUGUGAGUGCGGGGCGAACUGGAGACCUUGAGUGCGCGGAAGGCAGGCGGAAUGCGUGGUGUAGCGGUGAAAUGCAUAGAUAUCACGAAGAACCCCGAUUGCGAAGGCAGCAUACCGGAGCGUAACUGACGCUGAAGCACGAAAGCGCGGGUAUCGAACAGGAUUAGAUACCCGGGUAGUC